GUUGAAGGAAGGAAGAAAGAAAGGAAAGAAGAAAGAGAGAAAGGAGGGAAGGAAUUUAUGUUUCCAGAGCUCAGUUAUCUCGCAUGGAUCCAGCUCUUUCGCCCCACGUCUCCGCUGUCUUCCUCCCGUCUCCUCUACUUCUCUUCAUGCUGACAAAUGCAGUAACGAUCUUCCCUUGGGAAUUUGCCAAAUGUAGUCCAGGAAUUGCAUAUUUUUGGUAAACUUGGUUGUAAUAACAUCUGUGAGCUAAUUAAAUGAAGCUGAAACUAUUUUAUAAACAAACGAUUUUAAAAGGCCUAUUCUCAAACAGGAAUAAUGAUGAUGAAUUUUCCCCUUAAUAACAUCUAAUAGUGCAAACAGUUUUUAAACCUAGUAUACCUGCAAUUCUAGGCGCAAGGGACUUUUGAACUAAGUCAUUUAGAAAAUAGGAAUAUUAAACACAUUGUACAUUAUAGAUGUAUAUGAUAUUAUAUAUAUUCACAGCAGAAAGAAAAUUUGUAGCAGAAGCUUCUCUAUCGUGUUUCCUUCUCCUUUGUGGGUACGUGAAAAACUACACGUUCAGCCCCUUUGCAGGCAGGCGGUACAGUGUGACUAGUCCUGGCUAACGUGAGUGGAAGGCAUGUCUGUGUCCCUUCUGGGCUGUGACGGUGAAAAGUCUCUGCAAACCUUCUUGAUGGCUCUUGUUACUUACCCGACGAGCAAGAACUAAACGUUUGUUGUUUUAAUCCACUGAGAAGCAGGGGCUGCUAUGUUGCCAAGGGACAUUUGAGCCCAGCCUGAGGGUACGACAGCUGAUGAGGGUUACUGAAGAGGCACUUCAGACAUAACUAACAACACAUCUACUUCCUAGGUGAGUUGUAGACCUUUUCACUGAUCCACAUCACUAGCCCUGGGGUGAAAGGACUAAGCUCGUAUUUCAAUCUCAAAACGGCAAGAAAAGGCAGAACGUUCAGAAAGGGCAAGUAUGGUUAGUGCUCAGGGUGUUGACAAAGCAAAAUUACACAAUCAGGACCAGUUUGUUGAAAUCCUAGACCCAACUGAAUCCACACCCCGUUCUGUGACCUGUGGCCACAGAGAUUUAAUCUUCUCAAUGGUUCCUUUUCCUGUAUUCAGAUGACAUCAAUCACGGCUGGAAAGCCAUUUCACCAAAGAAAGAGAGCUAUAGAAUUUAAUACAAGUUAACUUCAGUCUCCAUGCUGGUGCAUAUGGCAUUAGAAAACAUUGCUUCCUCAAAUUAUCUGCUCCCGUACUAGAAAUGCUGCUACCUGCCUUAUUAAAGGUACACUCUACUGAAAGGUCCAAGACACCAGAUAAUCCUGUGGCAGCAGUGGCAAUAGCAAUCUGCUAGACCCAAAACUCCAAAACUCAAAAGGAGAGGAACUUUUCUCUCUGUUCAGUGGAGUUGCAGCUCUAAGAGCACAGGGAGACAGGCAUGACUAUCUGCUGGUGCAGAUGAAUGAACUGAGCUAUCAAGAAGCUAAGAAACUCGGCUGGAGACAAAUGGCAGGUGAAAUAAGGACUUUUGGCCAGAUCCAUCUGAUUUCCAAGUUCGUGCUCUUCAUCCCAAGUGUAGCAGAAUUGGGGCGCACGGAAUUCCGGCCUGAGUUUCUUUCUCUUCCUGGAUUCAUGGAUUCACACUUAUCACAGGAUGUCAGAACUGGAAAGACCUCAGAGAACAAAUGAGAUAACGCAGCCUUGUUCAAUGAGCUGUCAUCGCCACUUGGCUUGUUAGCAGAAGCAGAGCUUCAUUUUCGCCUUCAGCGUCACAGCGCCGCUGACUUCUACUCUAAAUAAAAACCUUCUCUCAAAAAUGUAAGGUACUUUACAGACAUGAUUCAGACAUUGGUUUUAUUUUAAGGCAAAACAAUCCAAGACACAGAGAGCUAAAACGAUUUCCUCUGGUCUGCUGGACAGGGCCUGCCUAUGAGAAAACAGACCUACACUGCGCUUCCAUUCGCUGCCUCGAGGAGUAACGUGCCAUCCUCGUCUCCCUCCCCCCAGGCCUCCGUGGACUCCUUGUCUUCUUGCUCAUUCUUACCCUGUCUUCUAAACCCUGAACACUCCUAGAAGCUGGUGAUGGAAUCUCAAAAAGAUGAUUGUUUUUGAGGUGAGAGAGGAAGAGAAAAAAGAAGACCAAAGUGAAGAGGCAAAUUUCUGGGAAAUUUAAAGCUACAGGUGAAAGCUGUGGGGUUUGUAAAAAGGGCAUUUGGGGGGAAAUUUUAAAAAUACAUUCCUUAUCAAUUUUCUAAUGUCAUUUACAUACCAAAAGUCAUUGUUAUUUCAAAACAUAAAAUAUGUAAGAAACAAAGACGUAGUAAAAGAAAAUUGGAAUUUCCCAAAAUGAUUGUAGAGAAAGAUUUUUCCCUCUCUCUUGAGUUGUCUGUUUUCUAUGUCUCCACAUGGGCUUUGUAUCUUUAGCCCCAAACUCAAGGCUCACAUUGACAGUUCCUGGCCUUCCCAAAGACAGGCAGCAGAACGUGGGGUCCAAGAAAUGGUCAGGGCAGCCUCUGGCCCCAGACCAUGGCACACUCUCUGACUCACACUGAUGUUACAGCCCUAAGCUGGCAUUGCCUGGCGCUGGACUCCACAUUCUCCAAACCCAGGCCUUUACUGCUUCUAGAAAGAAAUGAUUGUUCACACAGGGCUGGGUCACUAGACCUGAUAUUCCUGAGAGUCCUUCUCCCAUCACCUCCACCAGAGAAAGUAGGAGUGCAGCGUAGACCUCUAGGUCCCAGGAAAUGGCAGACUGCCUUCCAAGGACACUUCACCCUCCUGGAAGACAGUGAGAGAAGGCUGAAAGAACUGGCCUCAGAGUGGACGACUUGAGCUCUGUCCUGAGCUGCUGCAUCCUACUGUUGGGUCCCAGCAAGGUGUUGACCAUCCUCAAGCAUGUGUGUCCUCAUCUGUGAAGUGGGACAAUAUGAAUGCAUAUGCCCACAGAGUUUCGAGGUUUCACUAGGA
Non-coding RNA from Equus caballus (horse), 2961 nucleotides. NCBI's taxonomy places the organism in Eukaryota, Metazoa, Chordata, Mammalia, Perissodactyla, Equidae. The record is from RefSeq and is a predicted model, not a curated record.